This 497-nucleotide ribosomal RNA is filed under the name uncultured bacterium. RNAcentral's name for it is "bacterial SSU rRNA". It matches the Rfam family "Bacterial small subunit ribosomal RNA", at positions 28 to 533 of the family's 1533-position model. The record is from RNAcentral.
GACGAACGCUGGCGGCGUGCCUGACACAUGCAAGUCGGACGGUCCGUGAUUGAUCAAGCUUGCUUGAUUGGUUGUGGAUAGUGGCGGACGGGUGAGUAACGCGUGAACACCUACCCAUUGGAGGGGUACAACCCGUCGAAAGGCGGGCUAAUACCGCGUAAGCCGUGAGGUGAAAGGCUGCUUUUUGGUGGCUGCCGAUGGAUGGGUUCGCGUCCUAUCAGCUGGUUGGUGGGGUAACGGCCUACCAAGGCUAAGACGGGUAGCCGGUCUGAGAGGAUGGCCGGCCACACUGGAACUGAGACACGGUCCAGACUCCUACGGGAGGCAGCAGUGGGGAAUCUUGGGCAAUGGGGGAGACCCUGACCCAGCGACGCCGCGUGAGGGAUGAAGGUUUUCGGAUCGUAAACCUCUGUUGUACGGGAAGAAGGAUGUGACGGUACCGUACGAGUAAGCCCCGGACAAACUCGUGCCAGCAGCCGACGGUAAGCUCGUCUCUA